CUGGAGCUUGCCGUGUGGGAUGCCCUCCUCCAAUCCAUUGCUCUUCAGCCUUUGGAUGUGGACAACACGCUCGACUCUGUGUCCUGGAGCUUGGAGUCCUCCGGUCAAUUCUCGACCAAGUCCCUAUAUCCGGCCAUUGCACCUUCCUCUACCCCUGAGCCGUUUAGCCUUAUAUGGGACAUUCGCUUGCCAUUGAAGAUCUGGAUCUUCAUGUGGCAGUGGAUUCGUGGCCGUCUCCCCUCCGGGGUUGACAUUCUGAAACGCAACGACCCAGGAGAUGGGAUGUGUCCCCUCUGUGCCACGACUGAGAACGCUAACCACAUCUUCUUCUCCUGCGUUACGGCUCAGUUCUUGUGUUCCUGCUUCCGCGAUACGGUCGGCGGUCGUUGGUGUAACACCAACUUCCCGGACUUAUUGGUGGAAAUCCAGGCCUCCGCCCCUCGUCACCGCCACAUUAGGUGGUUGUGCGUUGGGGUGCUUGCAUGGACGCUUUGGACCAUCCGCAAUAAGCUUGGCAUUCAACAGGCUCCUCUUUGGCGUGCGACUGACGCGGCCUUCAAAUUGUGUGGUUACUUGCAGCUUUGGUGGCUGCUUAGCCGCCUCCAGGAUCGGGACGCCAUCGACACCCUCCUCGCCGACCUUCGCGUGAUGGCCUUCCGAGUGGCGCCUCCUCUUCCGCCCCCACCCCCGGAGCCAGACUAG
Molecule: ribosomal RNA, 702 nt
Filed under: Triticum aestivum (bread wheat)
Lineage: Eukaryota; Viridiplantae; Streptophyta; Magnoliopsida; Poales; Poaceae
Description: partial small subunit ribosomal RNA
Source: RNAcentral